GCAGAGGUCAGCUGAGAUGUUAUCUCCCCCAGAGAUUCUUACCAGAUGGCCAAGCCCAGAGAAUAUUCUGAAUCCCCCAGAGGGUUUCUUAAAAUGCAGUUUCCAGGGCCUCACCCUAGAACUAAUAACUCAGCCUCACAGAGCCGGGGGUUGGGGGGCAGGGAAGCUGCAUCAACGUGAUGCGAUGUGACAAGGCUCUGGACCACAGGGUGAUUCAGCCCCAUAUCAGCGCUCAGGAAUUCCCAGGCCAGUGGGGAGCGGGGGCGGGGGCGGGGACAAACAGGGAAGCGCACAGUAAGGGAGAAUGUGGGGACUCAGAGCAGGAGCCUUUGGAGUCAGAGAAGUUUUCCAGAAGGGACAUCUAAGCAGAGCCCGGCUAGGCAAAGUGAACUGCCAUGGCGAGGGCCUGGAGACUUCCAGAAGCAUGAUAACUGCUCUUAAUUGUUCAACCCUCACCAGGAGGUAAGGCCUGUGAGGUGGGUGCUAUUAGGGUCCCCAUUCUACAGAUGAGGAAACUGAAGCCCAGGAAGUCUCCUGGCUCGCCAGCAGGGCAGCUGGAGGUUGCUGACCUCUGAGGGAGGCCCCAGCCAAGGCGGGAGCUAAGUGGGCGCCCCCUCCUCUCCCCUCUCAGGCCCAGUACCGCCGAGGCCUGGAGCUGUCCAAGCAGGCCGCUCAGCUGGGAGCUACAGCCGGAGGGGCUGGAGAGGCAGAAGGUGCAGAGUUCCCAGAGCUGGCAGCCUUUGCCUCUACCCAGCGGGUCUUCCAGGCAAAGCUGACCCACUUUUACAUGGCGGCCGAGCGGCAACGCACUGACCUUGAGACGCUGCUCCACCUGCACCGCUUCUGCAAGAGGAUGACCUGGUUCCACAUGGACUGUCAGGACCUGAUGGCCCAGCUCAGGCUGGACAAGACCUCAAGGGUCAGUCCUGGGGACCAGCGCCGCCUCCACCGCUACCUGCAGCGACUGGCAUCUGAGUUCCCUGCUGAGAAGCUCGCAGCCGUGGGGCUGCAGGUGGCCUCCCUGAGCCAGGCAGGCCUGGGCCAGGAGCUGUGGGAGGAGGCCCGGAUCAGGCAUGAGGAGAUCCGGAUGCUCCUGGAGAAGGCACUGACCCACAGCUCUUGCCCAGAGGCUCCAGCUGCUCACUCGGCAUGCCCAGAACGAAGAGGGGUGGCGGCCAAGGGCCAAGGUCUGAGUGUAGAGGUCACUUCCAAGGGGAGGUGGGACCAGCUUCCACUAGACUCACUGGGCAUGGACCAUUUGCCAAAGUCCUAUUGGCCUCCUGGGCCCCCCAGAGGGGAACAGAACAGAACUUUCCAGGCAGGCUCUCCACCCCAGGAAGCUGGCCGGGCUGCAGAGGCUGAAGACGGCAAAGGCUCCCACAAGCUCCCUGACCCUGCCUGCGAGCAUUUGCUUGCCACUACCUUCUUCCGGCAGCAGCCCCCCAGGCAGAGCCAAGUCCCUCGCCUCACUGGGGGCAGCUUCUCCUCAGAGGGGACAGACUCGCAGACAUCCCUUGAGGACUCACCCCAGACAAGUCCCCUUGCCUCCCUCUAGCUGAGAGCCCCCUUCAGUGGCACCAGCCUCCAGGAGCACUGGGAUGGGGCCCAGCUGGAGGGGUAGCUGGGAGCUCUGGUCAGUCCCAGUGAGACGUCGCCAUGGAGCACUGGUUUUACGUUCUGCCUCUGCUGGGAGGAUGGGAACUGUUGACCUGCCCCCUGGCUCCAGAAAACUCCUGGAAGACCCGAUCCUCACCCAUGCAGAAUAGCGAGAGUGGGUGUCAGAACCAGGGCACAAUGAAGGGUGUGAUUGGCUCCAUCCCUCCAGGCUCUCAUUGUGGAAAGACCUGUCAGCACAGACCCCUCCAGAGGUCUCCCUCGCAGGCAGGCAGACACCCACCUGCAGCUCAGGAACAUACACAGCUCUCCCCUCGGGCACGAGGGCCAGUGUUGCCCUUAUACAGAAUCCUUGGGGAGAUUCGGGAGUGCUUCCUUGUCUUGGAUUCCAGGAAAAUGGACCCUGAGAUGAGGAUUUAAGGAUCAGUGUGUUUGGUGCUGAUCCAGGAACCUCAGCUGGGGGAGUAGGAGGUGAAUCUGCAAAGGGAAUAAAGAGUAUGUUGUCAAG
Molecule: small RNA, 2122 nt
Filed under: Pongo abelii (Sumatran orangutan)
Lineage: Eukaryota; Metazoa; Chordata; Mammalia; Primates; Hominidae
Description: retained intron
Source: RNAcentral